This 1048-nucleotide ribosomal RNA is filed under the name fungal endophyte. RNAcentral's name for it is "eukaryotic LSU rRNA". The stretch from base 467 to 1048 matches the Rfam family "Eukaryotic large subunit ribosomal RNA", at positions 1 to 594 of the family's 3401-position model. Lineage: Eukaryota; Fungi. The record is from RNAcentral.
AGUUUCCGAACUCCCAACCCACUGUGAACAUACCCUUACGUUGCUUCGGCGGGCGCCACGCCCGCCGAGGGACACGCAAACUCUUUUUUGAACCUGGAACUCUGAUUGCAUAAACAAAAAAAUGAAUCAAAACUUUCAACAACGGAUCUCUUGGUUCUGGCAUCGAUGAAGAACGCAGCGAAAUGCGAUACGUAAUGUGAAUUGCAGAAUUCAGUGAAUCAUCGAAUCUUUGAACGCACAUUGCGCCCGCCAGCAUUCUGGCGGGCAUGCCUGUUCGAGCGUCAUUACAACCCUCGCUGCCCCCUUCGGGGCGCGGUGUUGGGGGACGGCCCGGGCCCUUCGGGGCGGGGCCGCCCCCGAAAUGGAUCGGCGGCAACGGCGUCCGCCUCCCCUGCGUAGUAGCACAGCAUCUCGCAACGGGAGCGCGCCGCGGCCACUGCCGUAAAACGCACAACCUUUCAAGAGUUGACCUCGGAUCAGGUAGGAAUACCCGCUGAACUUAAGCAUAUCAAUAAGCGGAGGAAAAGAAACCAACAGGGAUUGCCCCAGUAACGGCGAGUGAAGCGGCAACAGCUCAAAUUUGAAAUCUGGCCCCAGGCCCGAGUUGUAAUUUGCAGAGGAUGCUUUUGGCGACGCGCCUUCCGAGUUCCCUGGAACGGGACGCCAUAGAGGGUGAGAGCCCCGUCUGGUUGGAUGCCGAGCCUCUGUAAAGCUCCUUCGACGAGUCGAGUAGUUUGGGAAUGCUGCUCUAAAUGGGAGGUAUAUGUCUUCUAAAGCUAAAUACCGGCCAGAGACCGAUAGCGCACAAGUAGAGUGAUCGAAAGAUGAAAAGCACUUUGAAAAGAGGGUUAAAUAGUACGUGAAAUUGUUGAAAGGGAAGCGCUUAUGACCAGACGUGGGCUCGGCGGAUCAUCCGGCGUUCUCGCCGGUGCACUUCGCCGGGUCCAGGCCAGCAUCGGUUCGCCGCGGGGGAGAAAGGCGUCGGGAACGUGGCUCCCUCGGGAGUGUUAUAGCCCGUCGCACAAUACCCGGGGCGGACCGAGGUCGC